GCUUCCUUAGCUCAGUGGUAGAGCGGACGAUUGCAGUUAUAGCUAUUAUCGUCAGGUCAGUCGUUCGAACCGGCUAGGGAGCU
This 83-nucleotide transfer RNA is filed under the name Botryotinia calthae. It matches the Rfam family "tRNA". Rfam says of the family: Transfer RNA (tRNA) molecules are approximately 80 nucleotides in length. Their secondary structure includes four short double-helical elements and three loops (D, anti-codon, and T loops). The record is from Rfam by way of RNAcentral. RNAcentral also lists the same sequence under 3 other names. Lineage: Eukaryota; Fungi; Ascomycota; Leotiomycetes; Helotiales; Sclerotiniaceae.